This 253-nucleotide ribosomal RNA is filed under the name uncultured bacterium. RNAcentral's name for it is "partial 16S ribosomal RNA". It matches the Rfam family "Bacterial small subunit ribosomal RNA", at positions 524 to 776 of the family's 1533-position model. The record is from RNAcentral.
UACGUAGGGGCCGAGCGUUGUCCGGAGUUACUGGGCGUAAAGCGCGCGCAGGCGGUUUGUCGCGUCUGCUGUGAAAACUCGGGGCUUAACUCCGGGCCUGCAGUGGGUACGGGCAGACUAGAGUGCGGUAGGGGAGACUGGAAUUCCUGGUGUAGCGGUGAAAUGCGCAGAUAUCAGGAGGAACACCGGUGGCGAAGGCGGGUCUCUGGGCCGAUACUGACGCUGAGGAGCGAAAGCGUGGGGAGCGAACAGG